Molecule: ribosomal RNA, 539 nt
Filed under: uncultured bacterium FukuS89
Lineage: Bacteria; Pseudomonadati; Pseudomonadota; Betaproteobacteria
Description: bacterial SSU rRNA
Rfam family: Bacterial small subunit ribosomal RNA
Source: RNAcentral
ACAACGCGAAAAACCUUACCUACCCUUGGCAUGUCACUAACGAAGUAGAGAUACAUUAGGUGCUCGUAAGAGAAAGUGAACACAGGUGCUGCAUGGCUGUCGUCAGCUCGUGUCGUGAGAUGUUGGGUUAAGUCCCGCAACGAGCGCAACCCUUGUCUUUAGUUGCUACGCAAGAGCACUCUAAAGAGACUGCCGGUGACAAACCGGAGGAAGGUGGGGAUGACGUCAAGUCCUCAUGGCCCUUAUGGGUAGGGCUUCACACGUCAUACAAUGGUGCAUACAGAGGGUUGCCAACCCGCGAGGGGGAGCUAAUCUCAGAAAAUGCAUCGUAGUCCGGAUCGUAGUCUGCAACUCGACUACGUGAAGCUGGAAUCGCUAGUAAUCGCGGAUCAGAAUGUCGCGGUGAAUACGUUCCCGGGUCUUGUACACACCGCCCGUCAUACCAUGGGAGUGGGUUUUGCCAGAAGCCGUUAGCCUAACCGCAAGGAGGGCGACUGCCACGGCAGGGUUCAUGACUGGGGUAAAGUCGUAACAAGGUA